This 684-nucleotide long non-coding RNA is filed under the name Physcomitrium patens. Its description in RNAcentral is "long non-coding RNA (PPAT_LNC009510)". The record is from RNAcentral. Lineage: Eukaryota; Viridiplantae; Streptophyta; Bryopsida; Funariales; Funariaceae.
UGUGGAGAUGUUUUUUAAAACCUUUUUGAUCUUCAAAGUAAUAUGUACAUACGUGUACAUGAAUACAUUUUUUUGGAAAUAUUUUUCCUGAAUAUUAUGGGGAGUCCAAUUAAUACUCUUCCACUGCACACAUUUUUUUGAUGAAGAGGUAAGAUAACAAUUAAAUAAACAGAAACGAACAUGAAAAAAAAAGGAAUUGUUAACUACGGAGUUAACUGAGAACUAAUUCUGCCAGUCAUGCAUACACUCUACAGUUUACAGAAGUGCAAAAUCAACACUAGAAAUUUCCUAAAAAUGUUCGAUCCCAAUGGUUUUCCAAUCAACACCUCGACGUGCAUGCAAGAAGGGGAAAUGCGGUGCGUGGAGGUGAUGCAGUGUGAGUGAGUGCGGAGGGAUGACGGACCUGCACUGGUGAGGCGCAAGGCGACCCUGAAUAAAACUCUAGUUUUCAUCUUCGACUCCCCCUCACUACGGACAAAAUAAUGGUUGAUGCUUCCACUGAGAGUUGAAGUCAGGACCUCCCGCUCACUAAUCGGGUGCUCUAGCCAACUAAGCCCAACUCUGCACCACAGUAAAAUACUAAAGUUUCGGACAAUUCCGCGCUUUUCACGCUUGUUUCGAAUUCUGCACCCUCGGUGGGGCCCCGAGGGCCUGGACUGCAGCACUACUGCUUGUUUGUUCCUG